Molecule: long non-coding RNA, 780 nt
Organism: Uloborus diversus
Lineage: Eukaryota; Metazoa; Arthropoda; Arachnida; Araneae; Uloboridae
Exons: 4
Source: RefSeq, a predicted model, not a curated record
GACGUUUCUUCUGUGCUUGUGGUACUAUUUCUAUAAAUAUUCCGAACUUGCUCGUAGAAUUCUUCUUGGCUCUAAAAAGUUUUGAAUUUCUUCUAGUUUUCUAAAAGAAUUGAAAAGAUUUUCUUCUGAAAUUCGUGAUCGGGAUGAAGAUUAUUUUGCUCUUCUUCGUUGCCUUUUAUUUCGUCAGCAGAAGUGAUGCGGCAUCAAGUUCCAGAUCCUGCUCGAAUAACAAGUGCACUUACAGCUACGACCCCAAUGGAAACGCGGCCAUGUCACAAAGUUUCAGUGGAUAUAACGGUGGCCGAGCAGUUUCUGGAGCUAGGAGUCCUGGAAACAUGCUUCUAAGAGGUCUGCAAUAUGGUCCAAGCAAUUUUAGGCUUCCAUUCUUUUUCGGCAGAAAGUGAUGCUCAGACUCAUUGUAAAGUAAGUAAGAUUUUUUCACAUGCACCAGACUACUUUUGGGCUUUGAAAUCGCAGACUACUGAAAAAAAAAAAUCAUCUGGAACUACAUUACAAAGCGGACUCCAGUCAAUAAGAAUUUACUGAAUGCUGAACAAACCAAGGCAUCAUUUCUAUGAACAAGAAUUAAUCGAUCUCAAUGAAGUGAUCAACAAUCGCACGGAUCAAAACUGAAACUUGAAUGAAUAAAUUAAUAAAAUAAAAAAAACAUUAUGUGUAUAAAUAAGCCACAUUUUCACUUUUGGAGCAUUGGAGAUCUGGUCUCUGAACUACAUGUACUAUUUGGUGAGGUGAAUCGAAAAUAAAAAUAUUUCACUUCUU